Carcharodon carcharias (great white shark) is the source of this 1415-nucleotide long non-coding RNA. RefSeq lists it as uncharacterized. The transcript is spliced from 2 exons. NCBI's taxonomy places the organism in Eukaryota, Metazoa, Chordata, Chondrichthyes, Lamniformes, Lamnidae. The record is from RefSeq and is a predicted model, not a curated record.
AUCCUGUCCUAUCACCUUUGCACAUUUUCCACCUUGACGCCUCAUUCUUUCAGGCAUGCCUGCAGACAGUGAAGGUCACAGAUUUCUCCAAUCAUGCUCUACAGCUAACCAACAGGAGGAGGCAUGCAGUAGUGAGACGAUUUGGGCAAUAUCACUUUUUCAAUGUCCUUGAAACAAACACUGCUAGCAAAAGUGCUCCACCUAGCAGCCUGGCUAAGACUGGCAGAAUUCAAUCCCAACUGUUGCGGACAGAUUUGAGUGACAAGCUGCCUUGGGAUUCAAACCCACACCAAUCUGUUCAGAAGGUUUUCUAAAGAAUCUGCAUGGAAAAGACUGGAAAAUGCCAGCUAACCUGGAGAAAAUCACUUUCUCGAGUGCUACCAUUCUGAGACGGAACACUGGAUGGGUCGAAAUCUCCUUCAGCAAAACUAAAACCAUCAUUUUUGGCUCUUGUCAGCCCUUAUGUGUCUCUGGUCAUAACUCCUUCAACUUCCCUGACUGCCCUCUCAGGUUAAAUCCAGUUGUGAGGACUGCAAUAUGUUUUUCAGCCUUAUGCUUAGCAUUUAUGUUACUAUCUGGAUUGUCAACAAGACAUUCUUGCACUUCCAGAAAGUCACAUACAUACAUAUCCCCCGCCACUCCUGAAAUCCCAAUUCACAUUUUCAACAUUUUGAGAAUUGAUUUCAGAUAAUUUGAUUUCCUCAUUGUCCUCAUCACUUCUACCUUGCACAAAUUCUAGAAAAGCCAAAAUUCUGCAACCCAAAUUUUCUCCUGCUCAGGACUCACAUAUCCAACAUCCUUGCCCUUGCUAAGCUCAAUUGGAUCCCUGUGCCUGAGUGAAUAAAGUUUGAGGUCUUUAUACUUACCUUCAGUUCCUUUCAUUGCCUCACUCUAUCCACCUGAGUGACUUUUCCAGCCACACAUCCCUCCCACAUUCCCAUUCCUUUCAAAUGUUUGCACACCAUUUCCACCAUUGCAAGUCAAUCUUUCAGUCCCCAAAGUUUUCUCCAAAACCACCUUCUCUUACUGCCUCCUCAUUGCCUUUAAAAACUCCCUAAAAUGUUGCCAGCAAACAAGUCUCCAUGCUUAAUGUUGCUCCUCUUGCUGUAGUGUGAUCAUGCAGUGUUUUGAGGCAUUUCAUUUUAUUUAAGCAUUUAGAUGCAUUUUAUUUAUUUUUAUAGUUGAUUUCCUCUGGAAAUGAUCACAUUUUAAGUAGCGUAAACCUUAAAUGUAAGUUUAUGAGCUCAAUUUGGUGAGAAGUGUAUCAUUUAAAAAAUAUUUUUCUUGCAUUGUGCCAAUAGAAAGGUUGCCACAUGUAGAUCUUAAGAGUAGGUACAGGUACACUAGCUAGUAGUAAAAAUAUUUCUAAUCCAGUAUCUAUUCUGUACUGAAAUAAUAAAAGUAAUGAACUAAAA